GGGGAAGGGCCAUAGCUCAGUGGUAGAGCACCUGCUUUGCAUGCAAAAGGUUCCAGGUUCAGUCCCCAGCUUCUUCA
This 77-nucleotide transfer RNA is filed under the name Podarcis lilfordi (Lilford's wall lizard). RNAcentral describes it as "tRNA.Ala". The record is from RNAcentral. Lineage: Eukaryota; Metazoa; Chordata; Lepidosauria; Squamata; Lacertidae.